RNAcentral lists this long non-coding RNA (268 nucleotides) under Elaeis guineensis (African oil palm). RNAcentral's name for it is "long non-coding RNA (EGUI_LNC008365)". Lineage: Eukaryota; Viridiplantae; Streptophyta; Magnoliopsida; Arecales; Arecaceae. The record is from RNAcentral.
GUUCUCAAAGGGAGAUCAAUUAGGAUUUUUAUCGAAUGGGCCUGGAAGUAGGGACGUAGUCAUCGUAUGUCAUAACAAUAGUACAGAUGAUCUUUUCAAUUAAAAAAUAUCUUGUUUCUGCCCCAUGCAAGACCCGACUUAUAUAGUAGAUAGAUUUUUGUACCUUGUCUUCUUCUUGGACUAACAUCGAGCUCAUGGCCUCAAAGAUUGAAGCCAAAUACAUAAGCAGCUCCUUGCCUGUAUUCGGCUUUGUCAAGAGAGGUGGAGA